UACGUAGGUGGCAAGCGUUGUCCGGAUUUACUGGGCGUAAAGGAUGCGUAGGCGGACAUUUAAGUCAGAUGUGAAAUACCCCGAGCUUAACUUGGGUGCUGCAUUUGAAACUGGGUGUCUAGAGUGCAGGAGAGGUAAGUGGAAUUCCUAGUGUAGCGGUGAAAUGCGUAGAGAUUAGGAAGAACACCAGUGGCGAAGGCGGCUCACUGGACCGGUACUGACGCUGAGGCGCGAAAGCGUGGGGAGCAAACGGG
Molecule: ribosomal RNA, 254 nt
Filed under: uncultured bacterium
Lineage: Bacteria
Description: partial 16S ribosomal RNA
Rfam family: Bacterial small subunit ribosomal RNA
Source: RNAcentral